GGUAGCCUAGUGGUUAGAGUGUAGAGGAGGCAGGUAGCCUAGUGGUUAGAGUGUAGAGGAGGCAGGGUAACCUAGUGGUUAGAGUGUAGAGGAGGCAGGGUAGCCUAGUGGUUAGAGUGUAGAGGCGGCAGGGUAGCCUAGUGGUUAGAGUGUAGAGGAGGCAGGUAGCCUAGUGGUUAGAGUGUAGGGGCGGCAGUGUAGCCUAGUGGUUAGAGUGUAGGGGCGGCAGGGUAGCCUAGUGGUUAGAGUGUAGAGGAGGCAGGGUAACCUAGUGGUUAGAGUGUAGAGGAGGCAGGUAGCCUAGUGGUUAGAGUGUAGAGGAGGCAGGUAGCCUAGUGGUUAGAGUGUUGGACUAGUAACCGAAAGGUUGCAAGUUUGAAUCCCGAGCUGACAAAGUACAAAUCUGUCGUUCUGCCCCUGAACAGGCAGUUAACCC
Oncorhynchus tshawytscha (Chinook salmon) is the source of this 436-nucleotide long non-coding RNA. The record is from Ensembl. NCBI's taxonomy places the organism in Eukaryota, Metazoa, Chordata, Actinopteri, Salmoniformes, Salmonidae.